UACGUAGGGUGCGAGCGUUGUCCGGAAUUAUUGGGCGUAAAGGGCUCGUAGGCGGUUUGUCGCGUCGGGAGUGAAAUCCACUGGCUUAACUGGUGGCUUGCUUUCGAUACGGGCAGACUGGAGGUAUGCAGGGGAGAACGGAAUUCCUGGUGUAGCGGUGAAAUGCGCAGAUAUCAGGAAGAACACCCGUGGCGAAGGCGGCUCUCUGGGACGGUACUGACGCUGAGACGCGAAAGCGUGGGGAGCAAACAGG
RNAcentral lists this ribosomal RNA (253 nucleotides) under uncultured bacterium. RNAcentral's name for it is "partial 16S ribosomal RNA". It matches the Rfam family "Bacterial small subunit ribosomal RNA", at positions 524 to 776 of the family's 1533-position model. The record is from RNAcentral.